GGCGCAUCCAAGGCUCGAGGAGGACAACCGAAGCAAGCUUGAAGAGGUUUGAAUUCAAUCACUUAAGGUGGGGUUUACUUUUAUCUGUAAGCGUAGUUGUUACAUGGUUAUAAUCAUUGUUGUGUUGUGCGUCAUUCAUAUGAACUAAUGGGACCCACAAGGGGUCGGAUCCACAAGGGAUCAAAGAGCUGAACGGCCCACAAGGGGUCAGGUCCACGAAGGGACCGAGACUAGUCUCACAAGAUGUCAGCUAAGUGAAAAUUAUAAGAGUUCAACAUGUUAUGAUUCAUUACACAAUUGGUUAUAACUGCUUGCAGUGUUUACCCCACUGAGUGUGCUUGCACACUCAUACCCUAUUAUUUAUGAUUCUUUUCAGGUUAAGGAGUUGACGGCAAGACGGCAGACAUGGAGCUCCACAUUCUCCCGUUCUAUUAUAUGAUGAAGUAUUAUAUGUUGCUGUUUUUGGUAAAUAUAUCUUGCUACUAACCAACUUAGCCUCUUCCAAUUUUGGUGGGUCGAGACUUUAUAUAUAUUGGUUUAUGAUCAUGCAUUUUGAUGACGGCUGUGACCGAAUAUAUAUAUUUUGUUUACCGUAUGUGUAGUUACGAGCUGUGCCUCGAACACGUUAAUUAUACUUUUAAACUUGAUGGUUUUGUAUGUACUCCAUCUUUUUAUAUAUAUAAAUAUGAUGCUUAGAUAAAGUUAUUAUUGAAUGUCGUUUAUAUAACUUACAGCUUCC
RNAcentral lists this long non-coding RNA (739 nucleotides) under Salvia miltiorrhiza (redroot sage). Its description in RNAcentral is "long non-coding RNA (SMIL_LNC011641)". The record is from RNAcentral. Lineage: Eukaryota; Viridiplantae; Streptophyta; Magnoliopsida; Lamiales; Lamiaceae.